RNAcentral lists this ribosomal RNA (507 nucleotides) under uncultured bacterium. RNAcentral describes it as "bacterial SSU rRNA". It matches the Rfam family "Bacterial small subunit ribosomal RNA", at positions 28 to 524 of the family's 1533-position model. The record is from RNAcentral.
GAUGAACGCUAGCGAUAGGCCUAACACAUGCAAGUCGAGGGGCAUCACAUGAAGUAGCAAUACGGAUGGUGGCGACCGGCGCACGGGUGAGUAACACGUAUGCAACCUGCCUUCAACAAGGGGAUAACCCGUUGAAAGACGGACUAAUACCCUAUAACACAGGGGUCCCGCAUGGGAAUAUUUGUUAAAGGACAACCGGUUGAAGAUGGGCAUGCGUUCCAUUAGCUAGUUGGCGGGGUAACGGCCCACCAAGGCAACGAUGGAUAGGGGAACUGAGAGGUUUAUCCCCCACACUGGUACUGAGACACGGACCAGACUCCUACGGGAGGCAGCAGUGAGGAAUAUUGGUCAAUGGACGCAAGUCUGAACCAGCCACGUCGCGUGAAGGAAGACGGCCCUACGGGUUGUAAACUUCUUUUAUACGGGAAUAAAGUGCCCCACGCGUGGGGUUUUGCAUGUACCGUAUGAAUAAGGAUCGGCUAACUCCGUGCCAGCAGCCGCGGUAAU